GAUGAACGCUAGCGACAGGCUUAACACAUGCAAGUCGAGGGGCAGCGGGGGUGAUGGCUUGCCAUCACCUGCCGGCGACCGGCGCACGGGUGAGUAACACGUAUGCAACCUGCCCGCCACAGGGGGAUAAGCGGAAGAAAUUCCGUCUAAUACCGCGUGACGCGGCGUCGGGGCAUCCCGGUGCCGCCAAAGGGAUUACCGGUGGCGGAUGGGCAUGCGGCGCAUUAGCUAGUCGGCGGGGUAACGGCCCACCGAGGCGACGAUGCGUAGGGGUUCUGAGAGGAAGGUCCCCCACACUGGUACUGAGACACGGACCAGACUCCUACGGGAGGCAGCAGUGAGGAAUAUUGGUCAAUGGGCGCGAGCCUGAACCAGCCAAGUCGCGUGAGGGAUGACGGUCCUACGGAUUGUAAACCUCUUUUGCCGGGGAGCAAGCGUGCGUUCGUGAACGCGCGUCGGGAGUACCCGGAGAAAAAGCAUCGGCUAACUCCGUGCCAGCAGCCGCGGUAAUACGGAGGAUGCGAGCGUUAUCCGGAUUUACUGGGUUUAAAGGGAGCGUAGGUGGAUUGUUAAGUCAGUUGUGAAAGUUUGCGGCUCAACCGUAAAAUUGCAGUUGAAACUGGCAGUCUUGAGUACAGUAGAGGUGGGCGGAAUUCGUGGUGUAGCGGUGAAAUGCUUAGAUAUCACGAAGAACUCCGAUUGCGAAGGCAGCUCACUAGACUGUCACUGACACUGAUGCUCGAAAGUGUGGGUAUCAAACAGGAUUAGAUACCCUGGUAGUCCACACAGUAAACGAUGAAUACUCGCUGUUUGCGAUAUACAGUAAGCGGCCAAGCGAAAGCAUUAAGUAUUCCACCUGGGGAGUACGCCGGCAACGGUGAAACUCAAAGGAAUUGACGGGGGCCCGCACAAGCGGAGGAACAUGUGGUUUAAUUCGAUGAUACGCGAGGAACCUUACCCGGGCUUAAAUUGCAACAGAAUAUAUUGGAAACAGUAUAGCCGUAAGGCUGUUGUGAAGGUGCUGCAUGGUUGUCGUCAGCUCGUGCCGUGAGGUGUCGGCUUAAGUGCCAUAACGAGCGCAACCCUUAUCUUUAGUUACUAACAGGUCAUGCUGAGGACUCUAGAGAGACUGCCGUCGUAAGAUGUGAGGAAGGUGGGGAUGACGUCAAAUCAGCACGGCCCUUACGUCCGGGGCUACACACGUGUUACAAUGGGGGGGUACAGAAGGCGGCUACCUGGUGACAGGAUGCUAAUCCCAAAAACCUCUCUCAGUUCGGAUCGAAGUCUGCAACCCGACUUCGUGAAGCUGGAUUCGCUAGUAAUCGCGCAUCAGCCAUGGCGCGGUGAAUACGUUCCCGGGCCUUGUACACACCGCCCGUCAAGCCAUGAAAGCCGGGGGUACCUGAAGUACGUAACCGCAAGGAGCGUCCUAGGGUAAAACUGGUAAUUGGGGCU
Molecule: ribosomal RNA, 1455 nt
Filed under: uncultured bacterium
Lineage: Bacteria
Description: partial 16S ribosomal RNA
Rfam family: Bacterial small subunit ribosomal RNA
Source: RNAcentral